GUUGGGUUCGAGUUAAGGUUUAUGGGGUUGGUUUGGGGUUAAAGGUUAUGGGUUAAGGUUAUGGGCUUGGGUUGGGGUUAAAGGUUAUGGGUUAGGGUUAGAGGUGAUGGGAUAGGGUUAUGGGGUUGGGUUGGGGUUAAAGGUUAUGGGUUAGGGUUAGAGGUGAUGGGAUAGGGUUAUGGGGUUGGGUUAGGGUUAAAGGUUAUGGGUUAGGGUUAUGGGGUUGGGUUUGGGUUAAGGGUUAUGGGGUUGGGGUUAAAGGUUAUGGGUUAGGGUUAAAGGUUAUGGGUUUGGUUUAUGGGUUACGGGGUUGCGUUGGGGUUAAAGGUGAAGGGUUAAAGAUAUGGGCUGGGUUAAAGGUUAAGGAUUAAAGGUUAAGGGUUACGAUUACGGGGCGGGGGUUAAAGGUCAAAGGUUAUGGGGCUAUGGGGUUGGGGUUAAAGGUUAUGGGUUUGGUUUAAAGGUUAUGGGGUUGGGUUGGGGUGAAAGAUGAAGGGUUAAAGAUAUGGGCUGGGUUAAAGGUUAAAGGUUAAGGGUUAGGGUUAUGGGGUGGGGGUUAAAGGUCAAAGGUUAUGGGGUUAUGGGGUUGGGGUCUGGAGGGGACGGAGCUCAAUGGGGCGGGGAAGAGGUGGGCGGGGCCACAGCGCCCUCCUAAAUGAAUUGCCAGGUUUUAACGAAUGCAUUAAUGAAUAAACGGGUUCACCCAGCUGUUGAGUCGUUAAUCGGUUACUAAUGAGGGGGCGGGGCUUCAAAAUGGGGCGGGGUUUGUGGGCUGGGAUGGGGGGGUGGGGUUGCAGCCCCCCCAUUUCCACCCCAAAUUCCACUUAAUGAGAGGGUUAAUUACUAAAGCCGAUCGUUACAGCGUCACAUUGUUAACAAGUAGGGGAAUUAAUUAAUAAAUCCAUUCAUUAGGGGAUGAGGAUACGGAGCUGGGAACCAAGACAGGACUCCCACACUGCAUUAAUUAACCACUUUGUUAACGAGGGGCUACUUAAUUAGGCCUGGACCCAAUUGUUAC
RNAcentral lists this long non-coding RNA (1018 nucleotides) under Gallus gallus (chicken). RNAcentral describes it as "lncRNA (ENSGALG00010000132.1)". The record is from RNAcentral. Lineage: Eukaryota; Metazoa; Chordata; Aves; Galliformes; Phasianidae.